This 635-nucleotide long non-coding RNA is filed under the name Ananas comosus (pineapple). RNAcentral describes it as "long non-coding RNA (ACOM_LNC014177)". Lineage: Eukaryota; Viridiplantae; Streptophyta; Magnoliopsida; Poales; Bromeliaceae. The record is from RNAcentral.
AAAAUAAAUAAAUAAAUAAAUAAAUAAAUAAUAGGAUAAAAUAUCCUCACGUGGUUUCACACUUUCUCACUUUAGUACCCUAUAGUUUAAAAUAUAUCAAGUUAGCCUCUGUGUUUUCGCACUUUCUCACUUUAGUACCCUAUGGUUUAAAGUGUAUCAACUAUCAAGUUAGUAUCAUGUGGUUUUAUUUUCCUCUUUUUAUUGUCAAUUUUACUAAUUUUUUUCGUUAAAUCAGUGACAAAGUUAAAAUUAAAGGGCACUAAAGUGAAUAUUCGAUAAACCUAAAUAAGGUAUCUGAAGUUUUUUGUAUAUAACUUAACGAAAUAAUGGAGGAAAAAAAAAUUAGUGACAAAGUUAAAACUAAAGAGUAUUAAAGUAAAUAUUCGAUAAACCUGUGUAGGGUAUCUGAAGUUUUUUGUAUAUAAUUUAACGAAAUAUUAACAGGGGAGCCGACGAAAAGAACAAAAUGAAACCACAGGGUACUAAAUUGAUGCACUUUAAACCAGAGGGUACUAAAGUGAGAAAGUGUAAAACCACAUGGUACUAAAUUGAUACACUUUAAACCACAUGGUGCUAAAGUUAAAAAAGUGCGAAACCACAGAGGUGAUUUGAAGUUUUCUCUAAAUAAUAAUAUG